CCCAAGAGACUUACCUUUAGUAGACUAGGCAAGAGUCCACUAUUUUCAUCAUUAUUGGGCCUCCAGGGGUUUGGGUCCUAACUUCUUUCUUCUCUCCAAAAAUAAGUGUGCUUCAUGGGGUUCAAACUUGAGACCACCAACAAACACACCAAGGCCCUUACCAUUACACACAAGCCUUUCUUUUUUUUAUUUUCUUCUUUCU
RNAcentral lists this long non-coding RNA (202 nucleotides) under Theobroma cacao (cacao). Its description in RNAcentral is "long non-coding RNA (TCAC_LNC003618)". The record is from RNAcentral. Lineage: Eukaryota; Viridiplantae; Streptophyta; Magnoliopsida; Malvales; Malvaceae.